GGGCCCGCACAAGCGGUGGAUUAUGUGGAUUAAUUCGAUGCAACGCGAAAAACCUUACCUGGCCUUGACAUGUACCGAAUUUAGCAGAGAUGCUUUAGUGCUCGUAAGAGAACGGUAACACAGGUGCUGCAUGGCUGUCGUCAGCUCGUGUCGUGAGAUGUUGGUUAAGUCCCGCAACGAGCGCAACCCUUGCCAUUAAUUGCCAUCAUUUAGUUGGGCACUUUAAUGGGACUGCCGGUGACAAACCGGAGGAAGGUGGGGAUGACGUCAAGUCCUCAUGGCCCUUAUGGCCAGGGCUUCACACGUAAUACAAUGGGGCGUACAGAGGGUUGCGAAGCCGCGAGGUGGAGCC
Molecule: ribosomal RNA, 352 nt
Filed under: uncultured bacterium
Lineage: Bacteria
Description: bacterial SSU rRNA
Rfam family: Bacterial small subunit ribosomal RNA
Source: RNAcentral